UACGGAGGGGACUAGCGUUGUUCGGAAUUACUGGGCGUAAAGCGCACGUAGGCGGAUUUGUAAGUCAGGGGUGAAAUCCCGGGGCUCAACCCCGGAACUGCCUUUGAUACUGCGAAUCUCGAGUCCGGAAGAGGUAAGUGGAAUUCCGAGUGUAGAGGUGAAAUUCGUAGAUAUUCGGAAGAACACCAGUGGCGAAGGCGACUUACUGGACACAUAUUGACGCUGAGGUGCGAAAGCGUGGGGAGCAAACAGG
This 253-nucleotide ribosomal RNA is filed under the name uncultured bacterium. RNAcentral's name for it is "partial 16S ribosomal RNA". It matches the Rfam family "Bacterial small subunit ribosomal RNA", at positions 524 to 776 of the family's 1533-position model. The record is from RNAcentral.